Molecule: ribosomal RNA, 497 nt
Filed under: uncultured bacterium
Lineage: Bacteria
Description: partial 16S ribosomal RNA
Rfam family: Bacterial small subunit ribosomal RNA
Source: RNAcentral
GAUGAACGCUGGCGGCGUGCCUAAUACAUGCAAGUCGAGCGAACGGACUAGAAGCUUGCUUCUCUGAUGUUAGCGGCGGACGGGUGAGUAACACGUGGAUAACCUACCUAUAAGACUGGGAUAACUUCGGGAAACCGUAGCUAAUACCGGAUAAUAUUUUGAAACGCAUGGUUCAAAAGUGAAAGACGGUAUUGCUGUCACUUAUAGAUGGAUCCGCGCUGCAUUAGCUAGUUGGUAAGGUAACGGCUUACCAAGGCAACGAUGCAUAGCCGACCUGAGAGGGUGAUCGGCCACACUGGAACUGAGACACGGUCCAGACUCCUACGGGAGGCAGCAGUAGGGAAUCUUCCGCAAUGGGCGAAAGCCUGACGGAGCAACGCCGCGUGAGUGAUGAAGUUCUUCGGAUCGUAAAACUCUGUUAUUAGGGAAGAACAUAUGUGUAAGUAACUGUGCACAUCUUGACGGUACCUAAUCAGAAAGCCACGGCUAACUACGUG